RNAcentral lists this ribosomal RNA (460 nucleotides) under uncultured Anaerolineaceae bacterium. Its description in RNAcentral is "bacterial SSU rRNA". It matches the Rfam family "Bacterial small subunit ribosomal RNA", at positions 902 to 1382 of the family's 1533-position model. Lineage: Bacteria; Bacillati; Chloroflexota; Anaerolineae; Anaerolineales; Anaerolineaceae. The record is from RNAcentral.
UAAAAUGAAUGACGGACCCGCACAAGCGUGGAUCAUGUUGUUUAAUUCGAUGAUACGCGAAGAACCUUACCAGGUCUUGACAUCCCCUGCAAAGCUAUGGAGACAUAGUGGAGGUUAUCAGGGAGACAGGUGGUGCAUGGUUUGUCGUCAGCUCGUGUCGUGAGAUGUUCGGUUAAGUCCGCUAACGAGCGCAACCCUCGCUGUGUGUUAUAUGUGUCACACAGGACUGCUGGUAUUAAGCCGGAGGAAGUGGGGACGACGUCAAGUCAGCAUGACCUUUAUAUCCAGGGCUACACACACGCUACAAUGGUCAGUACAAUGGGUUGCCAAGCCGCGAGGCGGAGCCAAUCCUAAAAAGCUGGCCUCAGUUCAGAUUACAGUCUGAAACUCGACUGCAUGAAGUCGGAGUUGCUAGUAAACGCAGGUCAGCUAUACUGCGUUGAAUACGUUCCCGGGGCUU